GGCAAGGUAGCUCAGUCGGUAGAGCGUCGGCCUCAUAAGCCGAAGGUCGGUGGUUCAAGUCCACCCCGCGCCACCA
RNAcentral lists this transfer RNA (76 nucleotides) under Mesorhizobium sp. Its description in RNAcentral is "tRNA-Met". It matches the Rfam family "tRNA". Rfam says of the family: Transfer RNA (tRNA) molecules are approximately 80 nucleotides in length. Lineage: Bacteria; Pseudomonadati; Pseudomonadota; Alphaproteobacteria; Hyphomicrobiales; Phyllobacteriaceae. The record is from RNAcentral.